Molecule: non-coding RNA, 452 nt
Organism: Cyanistes caeruleus (blue tit)
Lineage: Eukaryota; Metazoa; Chordata; Aves; Passeriformes; Paridae
Source: RefSeq, a predicted model, not a curated record
UUAAAAAAUAAAACAAAGGACUGAAUAAGGAAAAAAGACAGUGACACUGGAAGUUUGUGAUCGGCAGCCAAGUGCUCACUCACAAAAUGGCUGCUCCACCUCAGGCAACCCUGGUCCCUCCCACAGUCUGUCAGUCAACUUCUUCUUUGCCUUCCAUUGGUGGAGACUGAUUUCUUGCAACUUGAUUGGAGGCCAGGUGUUGUCACACCACGCCCCCUCGUAACAACCGUUCCUCUACAGCCAAAGCUGUCUGAUGACAACUGCACAGAGCAGGAUUCUGGCACACAGAGCUGUUUUUCUCUCUCCUGGGUUAAUUCUGGCCAAACUCAGCACAGCAGCACAAUGUGUGGACUUUGCAACCAAUAUGUAGAUUCACUAGAGGUAUCAUCUCUACAAAUCGAAGGGGGCUUUCACUCUGUUCUGUUUUCACAUCUCCUCUAACAGUAAACAGG